This 200-nucleotide long non-coding RNA is filed under the name Gossypium raimondii (Peruvian cotton). RNAcentral describes it as "long non-coding RNA (GRAI_LNC005335)". The record is from RNAcentral. Lineage: Eukaryota; Viridiplantae; Streptophyta; Magnoliopsida; Malvales; Malvaceae.
UAUCGAACUCCGUCGUAGGCUUUCUCCAGAUCUAUUUUUAUGGCUAUCCAUUCACUAUUACUCUUGAUUAUCAUAAAGUGCAAAACUUCUUGUGCAAUGAUCAUAUUAUUAGUAAUGUUCCUACCAGUAACAAACCUCACUUGCUCUUAUCCUAUAAUCUUUGGAAAAACCAACUUGAAAUGAUUAGCGAUAACCUUUAU